GACGAACGCUGGCGGCGUGCUUAACACAUGCAAGUCGAACGGAAAGGCCCUGCUUUUGUGGGGUGCUCGAGUGCCGAACGGGUGCGUAACACGUGAGUAACCUGCCCUUGACUUUCGGAUAACUUCAGGAAACUGGGGCUAAUACCGGAUAGGAGAUCCUCCUGCAUGGUGGGGGUUGGAACGUUUCGGCGGUUGGGGCUGGAUUGGCGGGUUACGAGCUUGUUGGUGGGGUAGUGGCUUACCAAGGCUUUGACUGGUAGGCGGCAUGAGAGGGGGACCGGGCACAAGAGGACUGAGAGACGGCGCAGACGCGUACGGGAGGCAGUAGGGGGAAGUAUGGCACAGUGAGCGCGAGCCUGUGACGGAGGCGCUGCGUGUGGGAUGACGUCCUUUGGGUUAAGAACCGCUGUCGGCUGAUACGAAGCUGUUGUGACGGUAAUGGGUAAAGAAGCACCGGCUAACUACGUG
This 468-nucleotide ribosomal RNA is filed under the name uncultured bacterium. RNAcentral's name for it is "partial 16S ribosomal RNA". It matches the Rfam family "Bacterial small subunit ribosomal RNA", at positions 28 to 507 of the family's 1533-position model. The record is from RNAcentral.